CCUACGGGGGGCUGCAGUGAGGAAUAUUGGUCAAUGGGCGCGAGCCUGAACCAGCCAAGUAGCGUGAAGGAUGACUGCCCUACGGGUUGUAAACUUCUUUUAUAAAGGAAUAAAGUGAGGCACGUGUGCCUUUUUGUAUGUACUUUAUGAAUAAGGAUCGGCUCACUCCGUGCCAGCAGCCGCGGUAAUACGGAGGAUCCGAGCGUUAUCCGGAUUUAUGGGGUUUAAAGGGAGCGUAGAGGGGUUGUUAAGUCAGUUGUGAAAGUUUGCGGCUCAACCGUAAAAUUGCAAUUGAUACUGGCAGCCUUGAGUACAGUUGAGGUAGGCGUAAUUCGUGUUGUAGCGG
Molecule: ribosomal RNA, 346 nt
Filed under: uncultured bacterium
Lineage: Bacteria
Description: partial 16S ribosomal RNA
Rfam family: Bacterial small subunit ribosomal RNA
Source: RNAcentral